GAUGAACGCUGGCGGCGUGCCUAAUACAUGCAAGUCGAGCGAACAGAUGAGGAGCUUGCUCCUCUGACGUUAGCGGCGGACGGGUGAGUAACACGUGGAUAACCUACCUAUAAGACUGGGAUAACUUCGGGAAACCGGAGCUAAUACCGGAUAAUAUAUUGAACCGCAUGGUUCAAUAGUGAAAGACGGUUUGGCUGUCACUUAUAGAUGGAUCCGCGCCGCAUUAGCUAGUUGGUAAGGUAACGGCUUACCAAGGCAACGAUGCGUAGCCGACCUGAGAGGGUGAUCGGCCACACUGGAACUGAGACACGGUCCAGACUCCUACGGGAGGCAGCAGUAGGGAAUCUUCCGCAAUGGGCGAAAGCCUGACGGAGCAACGCCGCGUGAGUGAUGAAGGUCUUCGGAUCGUAAAACUCUGUUAUUAGGGAAGAACAAAUGUGUAAGUAACUAUGCACGUCUUGACGGUACCUAAUCAGAAAGCCACGGCUAACUACGUG
Molecule: ribosomal RNA, 497 nt
Filed under: uncultured bacterium
Lineage: Bacteria
Description: partial 16S ribosomal RNA
Rfam family: Bacterial small subunit ribosomal RNA
Source: RNAcentral